CCUACGGGAGGCAGCAGUGGGGAAUUUUGGACAAUGGGCGCAAGCCUGAUCCAGCAAUGCCGCGUGCAGGAUGAAGGCCUUCGGGUUGUAAACUGCUUUUGUACGGAACGAAACGGCGAGCUCUAAUAAAGUUCGCUAAUGACGGUACCGUAAGAAUAAGCACCGGCUAACUACGUGCCAGCAGCCGCGGUAAUACGUAGGGUGCAAGCGUUAAUCGGAAUUACUGGGCGUAAAGCGUGCGCAGGCGGUGAUGUAAGACAGAUGUGAAAUCCCCGGGCUCAACCUGGGACCUGCAUUUGUGACUGCAUCGCUAGAGUACGGUAGAGGGGGAUGGAAUUCCGCGUGUAGCAGUGAAAUGCGUAGAUAUGCGGAGGAACACCGAUGGCGAAGGCAAUCCCCUGGACCUGUACUGACGCUCAUGCACGAAAGCGUGGGGAGCAAACAGGAUUAGAUACCCUGGUAGUCCACGCCCUAAACGAUGUCAACUGGUUGUUGGGUCUUCACUGACUCAGUAACGAAGCUAACGCGUGAAGUUGACCGCCUGGGGUGGUUCGGCCGCGAGGUUGUAACGUUACGAAGGAGUGACGGCGUUGAGACGNGCCGACGGACGACGACGAGGGAGGAGG
This 626-nucleotide ribosomal RNA is filed under the name uncultured bacterium. RNAcentral describes it as "bacterial SSU rRNA". It matches the Rfam family "Bacterial small subunit ribosomal RNA", at positions 338 to 954 of the family's 1533-position model. The record is from RNAcentral.